RNAcentral lists this long non-coding RNA (5169 nucleotides) under Monomorium pharaonis (pharaoh ant). Its description in RNAcentral is "uncharacterized LOC114254276". Lineage: Eukaryota; Metazoa; Arthropoda; Insecta; Hymenoptera; Formicidae. The record is from RNAcentral.
UCAAACGCAACAAUCAGACUAGUGUUGAAAUGAGAACUAAAGAAUUUUUGCGUAUAUCUCGUGAUUUAGAUUUAUCGAUAAGGGAACUAUGAAUCAAAUCUGCAACCGACGGAGUUCCCCGUUCUCACAUUGAGAAAGGACAAUCAUUAUCUUGGACAGUUGUUAUCCCAAAAUAUCAAAAAAAUAAUCACAAAGAAACAAUUUUGUUAAAAAAAAGAGAAUUUAAAUUUAAAAUUAAAAGUAAAAUUUUCUUGAAAUUAAAUAACAUUCCACGAAAAUCCAUAAAGUUUAAGAAUAAAAAAUAAAUUCCCCAAAAUUUUAGAUUUUCUCAGUUUUUCAUGAUCCGGUUGUAAAAUUAUCGAAAAGAGAAUGCAUCUAUGAUAUGCCUUAUCUCGAUGUUGACGACAGAGAGUGGAGAAAGUCGCGUCUCUCUCUCUCUCUCUCUCUCUCUCUCUCUCUCUCUCUCUCUCUCUCUCUCACGAUGUGAUAUAUCUCGUUAUAGAUCCCGUCUAGACGACGGCUGAGGGUGUCACGCGGUAAAAUAAUCAAUAGUUCCCGAGGGCUUGCAACUCCAAGUGUCUCGCGGUGCACGCACCAGUCGCGAUUUCGUUAUUAAUCGAAGAACGAAGGUACACACACACACACACAUCGUUGCUCGAGGGUUCGUCGAACCUCGAGUGUAGGGUGGGCAUCCUUGAACUUCGUAAGAGCGACGAAUAGAAUGACAAGGGUAUGUACAUAUCGAUUGCGCAUAGGCGUCACUUUUCUGCAGAUAAAAGUAACUCUAUAUAUAACUCACUUAUCUUAAAUAUUAUAUAAAAGAUAAAAAAAGAAUAAUGAUAAGAGAGAGACUCUUUAACGAAAGAAUUCACGGUUGUAACAUUAUCGUAAACAACUUUUUUGUACUGUGAACAUUUGUCUCAUUCCUCUGAUAAAUUAAUAUGUAUAAAGGAAUUAUUAAAUAGUGUUAGUGUUAAAUAAUACAAUUUAAAAAUAAAUAAUAUAAAAAAAUUAUAAUAGAUUUUAAGAAAUAUAAAUUUUAAGAUAAAUAAAAUAAAUAUGCAUGUCAGAUAUAUUAUAAUUAUUAACUUUUAAAAUAUUGUAUGUUUCCAUAAUUUACACAUUGUAAAGUGUCACAUCUAUUAUGUUAAUCUUUUAUAUAAUAAUUAUGUUACUUUCUGAGGUAUUCACCGUAUUUCGUUAAAUUAACACAAAAAUUCGAAUGAAACAUUUGGGACACGUGAAAUUGUGUUAAGAAUACAAAACUUUUUUACUGUGCAUAUAAAGGUGUGAUACCGUUGGAGAUUUUGCAAAUAAAUUAACGCACAUCGUGUACAGGUGUGUUUUUACUGCGGGUCCAUUCACCCCUUUUCAAAAUUAUAGAUCAUACACAAAUAUGCGUCGAAUUAACAAAACUUUCCGUUUUUUGAAAAAUGACACAGCUGGUUUCUCAAUCGGGUGAAAAAUACGAACAUAUUCGCAAUCUAUCGAAUCAUUCUUUGAGAAAAACAAGGGGGAAAAAAGAGAAGGGACGUUUCGUUAUAUUUUAUGUACAUAAAAAAUGUAUAAAAUAUUACAUAAAAGAACAAUCGUAGGAAGUUUUAAGGGAAUAUUCUCGUUUUCGGUAUCAUUUUUGUAUCUUGAUUUAUUAUAAUUUUAAAAUUUGAAAAAUUUUGGAAUUUGAAAAAUACAAAAAAAUAAUAAUCGACUGUUUAAAACCCAAAUGCAAGAAAAUCCUAAAUAUUCUAUGGAAAAAAGAACUCUAAAACAGCGCUGAGAGCAGCGACCCUGACCGACACGCUUCGUAGAGUACAGAAUUUGCAUCGAGCCGCCUGCAAAACUCGAGUCGAGCUUAAUCGCGGCCUCGUUCGACAGUACUAGACAAACAGUAAUUCAGACACAAUUGCGCGGAAUCAGUGCCGCACAAAACGAUCGUCGUUAACAUUCCGGAGCUCUCAGAGGGCGAGCAUCUUUAAGAGUGUCGUGAAGUAAGGCGAAGAAGAGUUAGAGUUAGACCAAUGGAGCGACGAUUUCUGAUUAAGCCUUCUCAUUCCUCUCUGCACAACAAGUAAAACGCGUUGGAACUACUAAAACUUGAAUUUAAAAAAUCCCUACGGCUUUUCAAAUAAAAGAGUCUCUGUGUUUUUACUAUACAAAAAAUAAAAACAUUCUUCUCUUGAAAAGACAAUCUAAGCGCUCGAGGUCAAGAUUUAAGAAAAAAGAUCAAAAUUGUCGGCAAUCGUGAAAAUCCUGUCGCUGAUUAGAUAACGGGAUUUCACUGCUCGUGUCUGACGAGGCAUAAAUUCUUUCAUUAAGACGAUUUCGUCGAGAGACACGCACGGAAGCUGACGAGGAGCGGACCGAGAGGAACGCAUUGUGCGUGUGCGCGUAGGCGUGUGCCAGGGAUCACGCAACCGACCCCUCUUGUUCACAAUCAGCCCUUUGACACACACGUCUGAACCUGAAGCCCACGCGAUACACAGUGGAGCAGGAGCCAAAAAAAAUCUGACUGAAACUCAGUCAGAUUCAAUUUUGCAAAACUCUAUUUUUGUUUUUUUUUUUCGUACAUUGCAUAUUUUUACUUAUUAUAUAUCAAAAAUAAAUACCUUAUUAAAUUUCAGUGUUAAAUUGUUUAAUUUAAACUUUGUUUAAUCUAAAACAUUUUCAAGUAUUGAAAAAAAGUAGACAGAAGUAAUACAUUUUAAUAUUCUAAAGUUAAAUACUUUUUCUUCGUGAAUUGAUAACUUGGAGUCAACGUAAAAGUACAGCAGUUUAUAUAUGUCAUAUACGAAUAUGUACGAAAAUAAUGUCAAAUAAAUUUAUAUUCUGCAUAAAAGUAACAGUAAAAAUGAUGAUAUGUAAUUAUCUAUGCGAGUCUGAGAAGCAAGAUUCAAAAGACUACCUUUUCGACAAGCUUUUUUGAAUUUUAUGCCGCUGUGCGACGGCUUACAAAAAAAAGUCUGGAGACGAAAAGAAGAUUUAAAGACCGACCUUGUGGCGACAGUGGAAAAAAACCGGUGCCUUUCAUAAGGCCCUUUAAAGUUUAAAGGGCGAAAUGAGAGCCCGACCGUUACCUCGAAAGUGGCCGAUCUCAUGGUGACAACGGAAGCGGAUCGGUGCCUUUCAUAAGACCCUUUUAAAGUUUAAAGGGCGAAAUAAGAGCCCGACCGACUCCCUGCUAUUUCGGAAGUGACUGAUUCAAGUUUGCCCUAGCUACCAGUUCUCUCUAAUAUAUACACUUUUUUUUAAUCACAAUCUGGCAACCUCCGGAUUGCCUUUCCCUCAAUCAAUAAACUGAUAUUGUGAACCUCUCAAUCGCUCCAAUCCUUCCACAAUUAUUUCUUUCGAUCAAUUGGCAUUCUAGCGCUAGAUAUAAACGCAAUUAUAUUUCCGCGACAGAGGAAGCAAACAGGAAAUGAUCGCCGUCCCGACGCAAGGGCGACGCGGAAGGGUUCGACGGGAGGGUGUAAUUACCGGGGGAGGGUGGCCAACAGUAACGACUUCUGCGAAACGUGCCUUACAAUCAACUACGCGGCCCUGCCGACUGAUAACAAUGGAAAGAUAAGGAUGAUCAUAAACAGCCGCAUAAGAGCGGAACGCGCUUUCGGAGCACGUUUCCUUUUUUUUCAUCAAAGAGACGAAGAGAGAGAUAUAUGAGCUCAACUCGAUCAAUAUUGUCGGACAGAGAUAGAUGGCAGAUUUGAGGGAAAAAAGGUCGAGAAAGAUAAGAGAGAGAAAGAGAGAGAGAGAGAGAGAGUAACAGACCUGCUGAUCGAUCGCAAAAGUAGCGGAAAAAAAAAGAAACGACGUAAAAAUAACGUCAAACGAUCAAAAGAUCACAAUGCUGCCGCGCGUUUUCACGCAAGAGUAAAAAAAGAUUGUGCCUUCUCCCCUUUUCAGUCAUGGAUUUAAAAAAGCAACCCCUUAUCGCGCCCCCGGCUCGCGGACAAAAUUCCAGGCUCUUUCACCUCUCCAACCGACCCAACCCUUUCCCUACGCACGAAACAAACUUGUCUCCCUGCGAUACAAUUUUCAAGUCCACGGCGUAUUUUGCGAGGGAAAAAAUGGUGGCGAGGAUGGUGAAAACAUAUAAAUACUCCUCUAAAGCAUAAGAUUUCAAUUUUCCUCUUAGUUAUUUGCGCAGCUUUUCAGUGUAUUUAGCCGGAUUAAAUAAUUCUGCUAAACAAUUGUAUUUUUAAACCACAGAUUUGAAUUCUCAAAAUGCUUUUAUUCAUGAUAUUCCUCGAUUAUAUAAUGUACCUUUUGUGGAAAGGAGAAAAUUAUAAAUGUAUCUUUUUCAUUAGAAGAUGAAAAAGUAAGCUGACACAAUUUUAAAAUGUGAUCGUCUUAUCAUGUUAUCGAUGAACGUAAUCCAGUAACGUUUGCGUGCCACAAAUAUAUCUCGAUAAAACAGCGAUACCGAAUUAUUCGCAAAAUGUAAUGGCUAUAACUCUUGCGACAUUAACCCAGUUUUUUUUCUCAAGUACAACGUAGAGAAAAGUAUUCGUGUUUAAUGAUAUCUCGCAUCGUGUGUACCUCCGUAUUGAACAGAAGACCUUCCUUUUUAGGAAUUCGCGUGCACAUCGUCGUCUGCAUGCGCAGAAUAUAUUUGAUCGAUAAGCUCGACUAUUUUAAUCGAAGCGUACGCCGAAAUUAGAAAAGAUCCGAAAAAAUAUAUCGAUGUCAACCUCGUCGUGACAUAGGUGGAUAAAAUUUUGAAAUGCAAACUUAGUUGAAAUUGUUUCUUACACAUUUCAUGUUCAUAGAAACUGAACUGUUUAUAUAACUUUUUUUUCUUAUUUCUGCUCAUAAAACAUAUUCUCUAUUAUUAUAAAAUUUAUACGAAAAAAUCGAGGAUACUCUCAUAUAUAUUUUCAUCUAUAAAGUAUAUAAAUGUAUUCAUUGGAUGAGAUAUAUACAUACGCGGAAGAAAAAAACAAUCUAAAGUUUUCUAAUACUUUUAAGUGUUAGCUGAUAUAGCUGACAACGUUGAAGACGGUUAACACAUGGCCUCGCGUUUUAGCCUUGGAUACCGCUGCUGAUAAAUCAAGCUCAUGUUUUUCUUAGGCGCCGCGGCGAAACCUUACCGUGUGUGUAUUUUUGUUCGAGUUUCCGUGCGUAAAAAUGGACGCGCGGAUUAAAAAACGAAGAGAUCAACGAGAAAAAAAA